GACGAACGCUGGCGGCGUGCUUAACACAUGCAAGUCGAACGGAAAGGCCCUGCUUUUGUGGGGUGCUCGAUUGGCGAACGGGUGAGUAACACGUGAGUAACCUGCCCUUGAAUUUGGGAUAACUUCUGGAAACUGGGGCUAAUACCGGAUAGGAGCUCCUGCUGCAUGGUGGGGGUUGGAAAGUUUCGGCGGUUGGGGAUGGACUCGCGGCUUAUCAGCUUGUUGGUGGGGUAGUGGCUUACCAAGGCUUUGACGGGUAGCCGGCCUGAGAGGGUGAACGGGCACAUUGGGACUGCGGUACGGCGCAGACGCCUACGGGAGGCAGCAGUGGGGAAUAUUGCACAAUAGGCGGAAGCCUGAGGCAGCAACGCCGCGUGCGGAAUGACGGCCUUCGAGUUGUAAACAGCUUUCGCCUGUGACGAAGCGUGAGUGACGGUAAUGGGUAAAGAAGCACCGGCUAACUACGUG
RNAcentral lists this ribosomal RNA (468 nucleotides) under uncultured bacterium. Its description in RNAcentral is "partial 16S ribosomal RNA". It matches the Rfam family "Bacterial small subunit ribosomal RNA", at positions 28 to 507 of the family's 1533-position model. The record is from RNAcentral.